Molecule: ribosomal RNA, 392 nt
Filed under: Lactiplantibacillus plantarum subsp. plantarum
Lineage: Bacteria; Bacillati; Bacillota; Bacilli; Lactobacillales; Lactobacillaceae
Description: bacterial SSU rRNA
Rfam family: Bacterial small subunit ribosomal RNA
Source: RNAcentral
GCUGGCGGCGUGCCUAAUACAUGCAAGUCGAACGAACUCUGGUAUUGAUUGGUGCUUGCAUCAUGAUUUACAUUUGAGUGAGUGGCGAACUGGUGAGUAACACGUGGGAAACCUGCCCAGAAGCGGGGGAUAACACCUGGAAACAGAUGCUAAUACCGCAUAACAACUUGGACCGCAUGCCGAGUUUGAAAGAUGGCUUCGGCUAUCACUUUUGGAUGGUCCCGCGGCGUAUUAGCUAGAUGGUGGGGUAACGGCUCACCAUGGCAAUGAUACGUAGCCGACCUGAGAGGGUUCGGCCACAUUGGGACUGAGACACGGCCCAAACUCCUACGGGAGGCAGCAGUAGGGAAUCUUCCACAAUGGACGAAAGUCUGAUGGAGCAACGCCGCGUG